GGGAAUAAGUGAAAACACAGUCAAUUUUUUUUAAUUUUUUCUCAAUUUUCUGUAUUUUUUCUUUUUUUUUUUCAUCUUGUCUCUUUUCUUUUCUCUCUUUUCAGAACACAACUCUAAGAGACAAGAUACAUGAUAUUUACAAUGCAACCGCAAGAAGAGGACUCACUAGUCAAUUCAUCUGCAACUCCUAAGAGACCACACUUAUUCCUAAAACAAUUCCAAAGCUCCAAAAUUCCCUAAGGUUUAGGUAAUCAUGGUUUUUCACUUAGGCUAUUGUAUGAGCUUCAAAACAAAGAAAUGGGGGAAGUAUAGGCUCAAGGGGGCUCAUAAAGAGAUCAUAACAGGGUAGGCUAUCUGGCUAGAGAGGCUCAAUCAACAAAAAGCCUUUAUCAUUUUCAAACAUGCUCAUGAAUCAAGAAUUAUCAACAGAGUCAAGCCAUGGCUUCCAUGUGUUGACUUCAAAGCAAAAUAAAAGUUGGAAGAAUUUCUCUCAUCCAGCCGAGACGUCCCCUCUCCAACGUGGGACUUCAAUUUCUUCAAGAAAAUUCACAUUGCUUCCAACCAUCACAUCAAGUCUACCUACUCACCUUGCCUAAAGACUCAAUGACCGAACCUCUUUCCUCAAUUUUGACUCCAUCCGCUGCUUACCAUUAUAAAAGCUAAAGGAAAGGCAUUUACAAUAAAUGUAAGGCUACCUACUCAAGAUGUGACAACUCCUCUUCCUUCAAUGAGAAAUGAAAUCUUCAAAACAAAGAAAUGGCUCACUAUCGCUGCAACACAAUGCUUCUCUCUUGCUUCUGAAUAAAAAUAAAUUCUUGUCAUAACACAUUAAAAGACGUUCCACCUCAUUCUUCCAAUUCUAUGCAAGCUAAAACCGUACUGCACCAUUUUUUAUGCAAUGAAGAUUGAAGAAAACAUUACCUUGAUGUGCUAGACCAAAAGAAAUUGAAAAUUGAUUCCCCCAAAAUAAAAG
This 973-nucleotide long non-coding RNA is filed under the name Vigna radiata. Its description in RNAcentral is "long non-coding RNA (VRAD_LNC012265)". Lineage: Eukaryota; Viridiplantae; Streptophyta; Magnoliopsida; Fabales; Fabaceae. The record is from RNAcentral.